GGUUGGAAAAGCAUUGAAAUGUCACUGACUUUGACUGUCAGAUGUGUGGGGUCAGGCAGGCAUGUGUUUCUCGGAUGCUCAUUGUAGCUCUUGCUUAUCCAUUUUUAUUAACUGAUCCAGUGACUCACAAGGAAGUUGGCAUUAUUGUGUGUGGAACAGCAGCAGAGCUUACUAACAUUCUCAGCUACAAAACAAAAAAUAACGAACCAGAGACUUCAGCUCAGUUCUUGUGAUUGGAGUUGUGUUUCCUCCAGAGUGACGAGCAUGGUAUAAGACGCCUCGCCCUGCACCCCAUCACGGCUCUCCCCAGACAGCCCUGACAGAGGAUCUGUGGAAUGGGGAUAAUAAUAGGACCUAUCUGACAGGGUGGUUGGGAUCAUUGACUGAAAUAACACAUGAAAGAACUUAGCACAGUGCCUAGCAGGCAGACAGGGAGGAGUCUCAUUUUGCAUCAAGAGCUUUCCAUGGGUCAUGUUAUUUCACCCUGCACGAUGCUGUGUGGUCUCAUCACCACUGAACACACAAGACCCUGAGACUCUGAGAGGUAGACACUGCACUCUACAGCUGCGAUUCACACCUGGAUCUGCUGGCUCAAGGUCUGCACUCUUUCCACUGCACCACAGUAACCCACAUGAAUCAGCAAUGAAAAGGCAAGACGGAGUAAGCUUCAAGCACUGAUGACCAUCUGUUUUAGCCCGAGUUGCCUAUGAAACAGAGCGUUAUGCAGAAGCUGAAGUACUAAUGCCUUGUUAGAGGAUGCAAGCCCAGGGAAGCAAGAGUGAGAGAGAGAAACCCAAAGGAAGGCAGUUUAAGGCUUCACAAAGUCAUUAACAAGCCAGACCACUUGCCACUCUCCAUGACACUCUCUAAGAUCCGACCUUCAUCCUAAAGGCUGAAGAUGGCUGCUAGAGCCCCAGCUACAUCCACAUUCCAGUCAGCGCAAAGGAGGAAACAGCAAAAAAGGCAAACACCUUCCCUUAGAAAGACUGCCUGCAAAGCUGAGCUGUGUCUGGGCUGAUUCAU
This 1023-nucleotide long non-coding RNA is filed under the name Homo sapiens (human). RNAcentral describes it as "HSALNT0392935". Lineage: Eukaryota; Metazoa; Chordata; Mammalia; Primates; Hominidae. The record is from RNAcentral.